This is a long non-coding RNA of Bubalus bubalis (water buffalo), 1499 nucleotides long. RefSeq lists it as uncharacterized. NCBI's taxonomy places the organism in Eukaryota, Metazoa, Chordata, Mammalia, Artiodactyla, Bovidae. The transcript has 5 exons. The record is from RefSeq and is a predicted model, not a curated record.
CUCUUUUUAUACCUUUACCCCCAACCCACCCUGGUCUCUGGCGUCCCAGCCUCCAGCUCCCUCGCCUCCAGCCUUUCUCUGGCGAAAUUCCCUUUUCCUGUGUUCUCUGUUCUCUGCUAACUAUCAGUCCUGCUUCUCAGAGCAGAGUCCUUCUGUCCCUCCACCCCUGCCUUCUGACCAUCCUAGACUUUGGCACAACCUGGGCUGCCGAGUUCCCCUCCUCCUGACACCUCCCCCCUCCUUACCCCCCAGACCAGACUGGGCCUGCCCUCCACUGGAAAGCUUGAGGGCUGGAAGCUCAGGGCCCUCCAUCGGGCAUGGGAAGCCCUGCUCAGAGGACAGCUCCUCAUCCUGCUUUGUUGUGUGAAUAGGGCCGAAUAAGUGGAUGAUUAAAUGAGUGAGCAGAUAUGGCUUAGACACACGCUACUGUAUAAAACAGCCAAGUCCUGAGGAAUCCGAUCCUGGAAUCGGAUCCACCGUGUAUUUACUGAGCAGCAAUCCCAGUGCAGGGCUCCACAGAGGUGACCCUGAAAGCACUGGCAUUGGGAGAGAGGACCAUGGGUUUGGAUCUGGAGGCAGGACCUGUCUUCAGUGCUGGGUUACUUAAUGCAUGACUCAGGGCUAUUCUCCCAGUCCAAAAUGUGGAGGAGGAUAAGACUGACCUCACAGGGCUGUGUGUGAAAGCUGAAACUCCAUACAUACAUGACGGUUGAUGUUAAUAUAACUGUUUACAUGCAGCCAUAAAUUCUAAGCCUAGACUUCAGGGUCCCUGUGUGCAGUGACUGAGUUCACAGGCGCCUCUGUGGGCAACAUACUCUCCGGAAGCAGCGCCAGGGCUAAGACUUGGACGAUGGUCCGCAGGAUCAGAAGCCUCUAGGGGACAGCGCCCCCUUCCCGGCCGCGGGCGUCCCCUUCCCCGCCUGCAGCCUCAGGCGCUCUCGGUGCGCGGUUCCGGAGCAGAGUGCACGCAGUCAGGCACCAGAUGCAUCACUUAAGUUCUACUGGACCUUUCCUCCUCAAAGGGCACUUGAAGUUCAAGUGAAUAGGGGACAGAUCCUGACUUAGAGCCAGAAGUCCAGUCCCAUCUGGGCACAUCUGAGCAACCUCUCAGCCAGCACACAGGGUGGAAAGCCUCGGAGGCCCAGGGAACCGCUGAGGGGCUGGCCUGUGUUGCGUGCGUACCCAAGACAGCGCCCAGCGUACUGAGGAUCUCUUGAUGGUCAGAGGUGAAGAGGAGCCCUCUCCAGGGGAUCUGUCCUCAGGGAUAUGUAUCUGACCACCGACUCCCGCUGAGGAACCGCGAGAGGCCUCCUGUGAGAGCUGGGAAGUUAAACUGUGUCCACUGUCACCUCACUGCUUCCAAUUUGUAGUCUUGGGGAAGAAGACCUCAAAAUACAUGGCUGUCACUGCUCAGUGGAAGAGAGAGCAUUAAAGCAAUUUCCCCAUCACCACCAAACCAGACCAAAACAACUCUCUGAUUUGGGAAUGUAAUCAUAUAA